Molecule: ribosomal RNA, 292 nt
Filed under: Escherichia coli
Lineage: Bacteria; Pseudomonadati; Pseudomonadota; Gammaproteobacteria; Enterobacterales; Enterobacteriaceae
Description: partial 16S ribosomal RNA
Rfam family: Bacterial small subunit ribosomal RNA
Source: RNAcentral
GUGCCAGCCGCCGCGGUAAUACAGAGGGUGCAAGCGUUAAUCGGAAUUACUGGGCGUAAAGCGCGCGUAGGUGGUUCGUUAAGUUGGAUGUGAAAUCCCCGGGCUCAACCUGGGAACUGCAUUCAAAACUGACGAGCUAGAGUAUGGUAGAGGGUGGUGGAAUUUCCUGUGUAGCGGUGAAAUGCGUAGAUAUAGGAAGGAACACCAGUGGCGAAGGCGACCACCUGGACUGAUACUGACACUGAGGUGCGAAAGCGUGGGGAGCAAACAGGAUUAGAUACCCGAGUAGUCC